This is an RNA transcript of Hemicordylus capensis (graceful crag lizard), 936 nucleotides long. It is a transcript of the gene named mitochondrial ribosomal protein S11, with no coding region annotated. The record is from RefSeq and is a predicted model, not a curated record. The transcript has 7 exons. NCBI's taxonomy places the organism in Eukaryota, Metazoa, Chordata, Lepidosauria, Squamata, Cordylidae.
CCAUUUGGGCGCCGCCAUUUUCCCUCUCCUACGAGAUGCCGCGAGAAACGCCUUCCGCCUCGGCCCCGGCUCCUGCUGCCUAGAGAGACCCACUUUCGGUGCGGGAAAGAUUGCGGGACGGUGGCGGGGAAGGAUCAUGAUUCCGACGAUGGCGAUCGCCCGGCGGGGCUUUCUGGUGGGCUGCUCGGGUGGCGGUAUCACCCUGUCCCGGGGCAUGCAGACAGUUAUUCAGAAUCUUCAGGGCUCGGCAGAGGAUUCAGCCACUCCAGCAGCUGAAGUGCCAGAGAUCCAAAGCAGGGGCCAUUUCAGGCUUUUCCCCCCAGCACCAGGGAGAGAGAGUGUGCUGAGGUGGGCAGGAAAGAAAUUUGAAGAGAUCCCCAUCGCUCACAUCAAAGCUACCUACAACAACACACACAUCCAGGUUCUCACCGCUGAGAAUGUCCCCUUGGCGCUGUCAACCUGUGGCACGGAAGGGUUCAAGAAUAUCAAGAAGGCCACGGCCAUCGCCGCCCAGACAACUGGGAUAGCAGCGGCAGCGAAAGCCUCCGCAAAGGGUGUGUCCCACGUGCGAGUGGUGGUGAAAGGCAUGGGGCCUGGCAGAUUGGUACUGUUGCCUGCGGUUUCUCGAACCCGGACCUAGUGGCUGCCCUGUUCACGGGAGCACCGAAGGUCCAGCUGGUACAUGUUCCGAAUAAGAUAUAGCGGCCAUCAAAGGUCUGACCAUGGGCGGCUUAGAAGUGAUCUCCAUCACGGACAACACUCCAGUCCCACACAACGGCUGCCGGCCUCGGAAGGCGCGAAGGCUGUAACCCGGGAAGCGGGGAGAAGAAAGACCCUCCAUUUUGCACCCGUGUGCGCCUGGCUCUGGGGUGGCUUCUGUAUGUGUGUUCUGUUUUCUGAACGGGGGACCUCCAUAAAGUCUGUGUCUUUAAAGCA